Long non-coding RNA from Oncorhynchus tshawytscha (Chinook salmon), 735 nucleotides. The record is from Ensembl. NCBI's taxonomy places the organism in Eukaryota, Metazoa, Chordata, Actinopteri, Salmoniformes, Salmonidae.
UGUAUAUAAUAAUAUAUAUAUACAGUACUAGUAUAUGUACCAUGUAUAUAAUAAUAUACACCGUGUCGUUGGAUGAAAUCAACAACAGAAUGUCACCGUGUCAUUGGAUGAAAUCAACAACAGAAUGUCACCGUGUCAUUGGAUGAAAUCAACAACAGAAUGUCACCGUGUCGUUGUAUUUAGGUUGCCAGUUGGGUGAAUAAAAGACUCCCUGACUUUUUCACAUCCAAUCAGUUUUCCAUGUUGAUUCAAUGUCAUCACGGUUUGGGUUGCCCGGGGGUGUGUGUGUGUGUGUGUACAGGGGUUACAUGAGGAGAGGUUUCAGUGCAACUAUUGUUUGUACAAACAAAAACACACUCAGUGGUCUGGAAGGACAAGAAGUCCUUGUGUUCUCUUCUCCUCUCUACUAUAAACGAAGGGUUUCUUUCCAUCUGAACUCUCUACUAUAAACAAAGAGUUUCUUUCCAUCUGAACUCUCUACUAUAAACGAAGAGUUUCCUUCCAUCUAAACCAUCUAAACUCUCUACUAUAAACGAAGGGGUCCCUUCCAUCUGAACUCUCUACUAUAAACGAAGAGUUUCUUUCCAUCUGAACUCUCUACUAUAAACGAAGAGUUUCUUUCCAUCUAAACUCUCUACUAUAAACGAAGGGUUUCUUUCCAUCUGAACUCUCUACUAUAAACGAAGGGGUCCCUUCCAUCUGAACUCUACUAUAAACGAAGAGUUUCCUUCCAUC